Molecule: unclassified non-coding RNA, 400 nt
Filed under: soil metagenome
Description: partial contains 5.8S ribosomal RNA, internal transcribed spacer 2, and large subunit ribosomal RNA
Rfam family: 5.8S ribosomal RNA (bases 1-122)
Source: RNAcentral
GAUGAAGAACGUAGUGAAAUGCGAUACUUGGUGUGAAUUGCAGAAUCCCGUGAACCAUCGAGUCUUUGAACGCAAGUUGCGCCUCAAGCCAUUAGGUUGAGGGCACGUCUGCCUGGGCGUCACAUAUCGUUGCCUGAUGCCAGUUUCCUCGUGAUGGGUGACUGUGCAGGGCGAAUGAUGGCUUCCCGUGAGCAUUGUUGCCUCAUGGUUGGUUGAAAAUUGAGUCCUUGGUAGGGAGCGCCGUGAUAGAUGGUGGUUGAGUGACGAACGAGACCCAGUCAUGUGAGACCCCUACCGAAUUUGGCCUUCAUGACCCACAUGCGUCUUUGGAACGCUCAUGACGAGACCUCAGGUCAGGCGGGGCUACCCGCUGAGUUUAAGCAUAUCAAUAAGCGGAGGA